AUAAGCUUCAUAUAUAUUUUUUAAAAUAUUGUUAACAAAAGAUAGAAAUGUAGAGCAAUUGAGUACCUUAUUUUAUUAUUCAUAACUAUAAAAAGUACCCUGGUAAGCUAGCCUUCUGAUCUUGACACAAGACAAUAACAAAAACAAAGAGAAAAGAACAUCUUCAAACACCAGUACAUAAAUAAAACAAGCACAAAGUGAGAUACACAAACAAAUUUUAUGCUACUGCAUUCAAUCAGAGGCCACCCACUGUUCACGGCGAUGUUUGAGAUAAACCAAAUGUUCAUCCCGAUUAGGAAAGUUCUCUUCAAUUUCAGGGACUUGCUUGAAAUUUUCAAACCACGUAUGCAGGCUAGGGAAUUUGUGUGAAUCAAACAGUUUAACUCCCACUACAUCUCCAAUGACUUGCAUCCAAUAAAGCAUUGAACCAAAUGCAAUGUCAACUAAGCCAAUAUUGUCUCCAUUGAAAAAAUUCCUCUCUCGCAAGCCAUGUUCUUCAAGGGUUUGUAGGAUUUCCAAGAUUUCCUUCUUUGCAUUCUCUAGUUCUUGUCCAGUAAUGCUACGAAACAAUUUCAAAAUAGCAACAACCUGCCACAAUAAUUUUUUUUUUAAAUCUAAAUUAUCUCCACAUGAUUAAUACUAAGCUCGAAAACUUAGACAAUGUGUACACACGUCACAAUAUCCUUUAAUUAAAGGUUUGAUAAGUCAAUUAAGAGAGUUAGUAAAUUCAUUACUUUUUCCUUAAAUGUUUUGAAAAUAAUCAAAAUCCCCCGUAUGGUUAAAAACAGUUAAGUUUAACGUUUUGUGUCUUUCAGUAAUUUACACCCGAGGAAGUUAAUCCACUAAUGAUUUAUAAAAAUUGCUAGAGAAAAAAUAGUGAAGGACCAAAAAGUUGAAAGUUAAGGAAUUUUUCACGAAUAAAUUAUGAAAAAGGCCCUUGAGCAGCUAGGCUCGACUGACUAUGAACGUGCUUUACGUGCAUCAUCUGAGUAAUAGAGAAUAAGAGUUGGUGGUUUAGUGGGUGAAGUUUCUUAUUAUCAUGAUCUCAUCUAAACCAUAAAAUAAAUAAACAAAUUUGAAAAGAAUACACUUAUAAACGGGAUUGCUAGAGUUGUGGUGCGAACCAGCUUGUCUUCGGCGAAUUUAAUCCAAAAUCGAGCAAGAGCUCUAUCAUAAGGAUUAUUUGGCAUCAAGGGAUUCUGUGGCCACGUCUCUUCAAUGUACUCGAGAAUAAUCAUGGACUCACAAACAGGUUUUCCGCCAUGGACAAGCACUGGGAUCUUCUUGUGAACUGGAUUAUACUUCAAAAGCAAAUCACUUUUGUUUGAGAGAUCUUCUGCAACAAACUCGUAUGGCACGCCUUUCAAUUUCAGAGCCCAAAUCACUCUGCAAACAAAUGGACUCAGCAAUCGCCCAUGAAGUUUCACCUCAGCCAUGUUAAUUCUAAGAUUGAAUUUGAUGUUGAGUAUAGCUGAUAACUCAUUGCAUAUGUUUGUGAAUUUAUAGUGACUUAUGGAAUGUGCUUCCUUUAGCAAUUAGCAGAAGGCUUCAAAUUUCCAUUAAUAAAACGAUUAAUGAUGAAUUCAAGGGACUAAUAUAUUUCAACAAAAUAAAAUUUUCAAAGUUGUGUGCAAAUUAAUUACGUAUAUAUUUGGAGGGUUAAUAUAAACAAGUCAGCUGAUAACCGCGGAUCAAUUAAUCAAAUUUUUGGCAUUUGUUUCCCAUUUAAUAUCUUUGCGUCAUGGAUGAUGAUUAUGGAUCAAUUAGUCAAAAAGACACUUUCCUUUUGCGCACUGGACCGCACACGGCACACAUAGCAAUUUGUUAUAAAAAAAUUCAAUUAAAAUUACUUUUUAGUUUUUUUCUUCAAUUUUCUAUCUAACUUAGUCCAUGUUUAGUACGAAGUAUCUACCGGCUAAAAGUACUUGAUUAUUUGAUUUCAAAAUUUAGUGUUGUUUGGUUGGAUUUUGAGUAGAGCUUUUGAAUAUUAAAGAAGCUAUUCUAUUUCUACUAGCGAAACUUUAAAUUUUAGAUUUUUUAGAACAAAGGUUGUAGAGCUUAUUUAAAAAAUAAAUUAUUUGAAAUACCCUUUAUUUAUUUAAUAAUCUUAUUCUAUUUCUUUCAUUUUUAAAUUUUUUUUAUUGUUUAGCCUAAUGGCAACUCAAUACCCUCCUCUCCCAUGUGAACAAAGUUCGAACCCUAAACCUCUUGUUUUUAGUUAUAUGACAACUACAAAUUAAACCAUUCCUUUUAUAAUAUAUAACUUUAAAAGUUGUCAAUUAAAGUAAUUUUACAAUUUUAAUUAAAAACUCUUAGUAACAAUCAAAUAACUAAUAAUUAAUUUAGUAAAAAUCUCUAUUUGAAUAUGUUCUAUUUGAAAAGUUAUUCAAAAUGAAGCAUAAUCUUAUUAGCGAAACUGUAAGUUACGAUGAUCAAUUUGGGGGAGGGACUACCUGUUGGAAUAAUAAUCUCUUAGUGAGAACCAUCACCUAUAAUCCAAAAAUAUUUUUGUUAUACCAUUAAGAAUCAAUUACAGAAUAUGCAGAAGCAUACUCGAAUUCAUAAUGCCCAAUUGCUUUCUAUGGAUGCGUGGUUAAUCUUCUAUAUCAACAUGUUAUCUCAGAGAAUCCUUUAAGUUUGUCACUGCACUUUCUCUAAUAAUGGGAUUUCAGAAGAGAAUAGAACAAUGAUACGUGUGACACGGGCAUUAUAAUCACUAAUAUAGACAAUUUUUUCUAUUGUAUUUAAAUAUUCCUAUUUUAGCCCAUCAUUUAGAAAUAGAAAUUAUCCUUAAGGCUUUAUACAUUAAAGAUUCACACCUUAUUAGAUAUAUUAAAGCCCAAUUAAAGCCCAAAUUACCGUAUACCUUGAUAAAUUACUUUUAAUUUAUCAAAUAUGUUAAUAAAUUACUUUUAAUUGGGCUUAACCUUAUAUGAUAGUUUAGAACACAUAAUUUUUAAAUAUAAAUUAUUUAAAUAGACUUUAAAAUAGUAGAGUUUUUACCCCAAAAAAAUAGUUGUCUGAUUCAUUGCUUGUCAAAAGAGCUUUACAAAUUAUUAAAUUAAUUUAGUAGAUAAGUUUUUUAAGUUAUAUUAUGAAAUAGGGAGAUUGCCACUUCCCCCUACAGUAAUUUGCAUAUACUAUUUACCCCCUUACUGUUUUUAUAAUGGCCAAAAAUCCCCCUGACAACAUAAAUUUAUAAUAUUACCAUUAUUUUUAAUUAUUCUUUUAUUUACAUUUAUUUUAAAUUAAAUAAAUUACAUGAAUAGAAACUAAAUAAAAAAAUUAAGUACUAAAAAUAAGAAAUAUAUGUGCUGAUAUGAGAAAAAAAUUAAUAAUAAAAUUUUUUUCUUGUAAUUAUUUAUUUUGUGAACAUUUUCUUAUAAUAAACAUUUUGUAAUAUUUUAAAAUUAAAUGUAAAAAGUAUAGGUAAAAUAUUUUAUUAUUUAUCUUAUAAUAAAUUUUUAUUUGUCAUUCAAAUUUUCUCAUAAUAAGUUUUUUUUAUCAUUUUAUAAUAACUUUCUUAUAUAUUUAUUAUAAGAAAUUUUCACAAAAUAAAUAAGUACAAGAAAAAAAAUUUAUUAUUAAUUUUUUUUCUCAUAUCAAAACAUAUAUUUCUUAUUUUUAAUGCUUAAUUUUUUAUUUAGUUUCUAUUCAUGUGAUUUAUUUAAUUUAUAAUAAAUGAAAAUAAAAGAGUAGUUGAAAAUAAGGGUAAUAUUAUAAACUUAUGCUGUCAGGGGGAUUUUUGGCCAUUAUAAAAACAACAUGGGGGAAAAUGGUAUAUGUUGAUUACUGUAGGGGGGAAAUUGGCAAUCUCCCUACGAAAUAUAUAUGGAUAAAAUAAGAAUGUAAAAUAGAUAAUGAGCAUAUUAGACAAUCUAACAUUUAAAAAAAACACUCUAAUCUCUACUCUCAAAAGUUUAAAAUUUAAGCUCUUAUUAAUAGAGUCAAAAUAACUUAUUUAAUUCUUAAAAGCUCGACUGAAAAUAAAACCAAACAACAAUAAAAAUUUAAAAAAAAAUUGAGAUUAAAUAAGUACUUAUAACCUUUAAAUAAAUCAUAUCAAAUAUGCAUUAUAUAUUAUAUCUUAAAGACUUGAACCGAUCCAAAUAUUAGGUCCACGAAGCCAAUAUUGUCUCCAUUGAAAAAUUUCUUCUCUCCUAAGCCAUAUUUUUCAACAGUUGGAAGCAUUUCCAAGGCUUCCUUCAUUGUAUUCUCUAGAUCUUGUCCGUUGGUGAAAAAAACAUUUUCGAAACAGCUGCACCCUGCCACUAUUUUUCUUUUUCAUUUUUUUAAUUGCUAUGUAUUUAAUAAAUUAGGAUCAUCCCUUUCUCUCAUAUUCUUUAACGAUGCUGAAUUCACAAGUGAUCCUCUUUUCAAUUUAAAAGAGGGGUCAUGUUUUUAUUAAUUUUCAAAUUAUAUCUAUAUUUUGAUUAAUUAAAAAGGCUACCUAACGAGAUCAUUAAUUUGGUCAACUACUCAGAUAACCGUGGAUCAAUUAUACAAUUGACAUUUCUUUCCCAAUUUAAUAUUUGCGUCAUGCAUGAUCGAUGCUUUAUUUAACUUAUUGCGUCAUGCAUGAUGAUCAUGGGUCAGUUGUAUUUGAGUGCCUAGGUGCCCAGCAAAUCAAGGUUCCCAGCUGCUCUCUUUGACUAUACCUUUGAAACACAAGUACUUGCUUUCAUUUUUGUUUGAUAGUAGAAAAAUGGUCAAAAUCAUUGCAUUUAUUGUGAAUCGUUAGAACAGAUCUACAAUGCAUAAUAAGAAAAAUUACUUAAAAAAUGUAAGUUCUAGAUAAGUAGAUACAAAUUAAGUUCAAUUCUUACUUCGUCAAGAUAAAACAUCAUAAACCUUGUAAAUUUAACUUACAAACAUCGAAACUUAACAAAACAUUUGAAGUUGCAUAACAGUAUAGAAACACAAGCAAAAAGAGAUGCUGAAUAAUAGAACUCGAAAUUUUUAUUGGGUGGGAUAUGAUCACGCUAGCAUAAUAUUGUGCUAUUUCGAGAACUCACAAUACUUUCUCGAUAAAUAGUAUCUGCAAGAUUUGAGUUGUUAAAAGUUAUAUUAAUUAGAGAAACUUACAGCGCAUCUCCACAAAUUAGUGAGGGUAAAUUUAAAAUGAGUCCCGAUAGAAACCUGAUCAUAAAGGCAUCAAUACAAGUGUAGCAUAUUAAAAAAAAACAUAUUUUCAAACAAAAUAAAAAUACAACCAUUGGAUAUGAAUGUUUACAAAAGUAGUGGGUGGAAAUAUCACCACCCUCACCCUCAUAUAUAUAUAUAUAUAUGUGUGUGUGUACGCGCGCGCGCAUGUGUGUAUUGUUUGUGGAAUGUUGUACCCUUAGAAUUUUUUUUUAAUUUUUAAAUAUCAUUAAAAGAAAGAUAGAAAUUAAUAUAUACAAAUUGAGUCCCUUAUUUUAUUAUUCAUAUCUAUUCAAAGUACCCCGGUGACCCGGUCAGCUAGCCUCCCGAGCUUGGAACUAGACAAUAACAAAAACAUAGAAAAAAAGAGCUGCUUUAAACACCAAUACAAGAACAAAACAAGCACACGUGAGCCAUACAAACAAACUUUGUGCUACUGCAUUCAAGCAGAGGCCAACAGCUCUUCACGGCGACGUUUGAUAUAAACAAAAUAUUCAUCCCUAUUAGGAAAGUUUUCCUCAAUUACAGGGAUUUGUUUGAAAUUUUCAAACCAGGCAUGCAAGCUAGGAAAUUUGUGUGAUUCAAAUGGUUUAACUCCCACUACGUCUCCAAUGACUUGCAUCCUAAAAAGCAUUGAACCAAAUGCUAUGUCAACUAAGCCAAUAUUGUCUCCAUUGAAAAAAAAAUUCUCUCCCAGCCCAUGUUCUUCAAGGGUUUGUAGGAUUUCCAAGAGUUCCUUCGUUGCAUUCUCUAGUUCUUGUCCAGUAAUGCUACGAAACAAUCCCAAAAUAGCAACAAUCUGCCACAGUAUUUUUUAAUCUAAUUAUUAUCACCACAUGAUUAAUAUAUAUGUUGUAUGCUAAAAAAAUUAGACAAUAUGUACACAAGUCACAAUAUCCUUUAAUUAAAGGUUUGAAAAGUCAGUUAAGAGAGUUAGUAAAUUCAUUACUUUUAGUCUAUAUGUUUUUGUAAAAUAAUCAAAAUCCCCUCAUGUUUAAAAACAAUUAUAUUAAAUUUAACGUUUUGUAUCUUUUAAUAUUUAUCCCUGAUGAAGUUUUUUUUUUUAAUACUGAUUAAUCAUCAGACUACUGCAUUACACAGAUAUUUACAACAACUGCUAUUAUAGCAGAGAUAUUACACUGAUAUUUACAAUCAGAUAUACAUGAUUGAGACUUACAUUAUUACAUUGAAUUCUAUGAAGUACAUGCCCAGAUAAAUAACCCCUCAUAGGGGAGGGAUGUCCAUACUCCACUCGCAUUUCCCUGAUGAAGUUAAAUCCACUACUGGUUAAUAAAAAUUUCUAGAAACAAAGGACAAGAGUUGGGGGUUUUGUGGGUGAAGUUCUUUAUUCUUAUGGUCUAAUCGAAACCUCAAAUAAAUAAAUAAAUUUGAGAAGAAUAUAUUUAUAAACGGGAUUGCUAGAGUUGUGGUGCGAACCUUGUCUUCGAUGAAUUUAAUCCAAAAUCGAGCAAGAGCUCUAUCAUAAGGAUCGUUUGGCAUCAAGGAGGGAUUCUGUGGCCACAUCUCUUCAAUGUACUCGAGAAUAACCAUGGACUCAGAAACUGGUUUUUCGCCAUGGACAAGCACAGGGAUCUUCUUAUAAACUGGAUUAUACUUCAAAAGCAAAUCACUUUUGUUUGAGAGAUCUUCUGCAACAAAUUCGUAUGGCACGCCUUUCAAUUUCAGAGCCCAAAUCACUCUGUAAACAUAUGGACUCAGCAAUACCCCAUGAAGCUUCACCUCAGUCAUGUUAAUUCUAAGAUUGAAUUUGAUGUUGAGUAUAGCUGAUAAUUUAUUACAUAUGUUUCUGAGUUUAUAGUGAUUUAUGGAAUGUGCUUUCUUUAGCACUUACCUGAAAGCUUCAAAUUUCCAUUAAUAAGACGAUUAAUGAUGAAUUCAAAGAGCCAAUAAGAUUUCAACAAAAUACAUGUUUUCAACUUUGUGUGCAAAUUAAUUACGUCUGUAUUUGGAUGGUUAAUUUAAACUAGUCAGAUAAUUAACCACGCAUUAAUUAAUCAAAUUUUUAUCAUUUAAUAUCUUUGCGUCAGAUGAUCAUUGAUCAAUUAACAAGAUAUUUUCCUUUUGUGCAUGUGUCCACAUUGGAAGUCAAUAUAGUAAUUUGUUAUGAAAAAAAUUCAAUCAAAAUUAUUUUUAAUAUUUUUAAUUUUCUAUCUAACGUAGUGUUUGUUUAGUAUAAAAUAUCUAACGCCCAACAGUGGGAUAACUCCAACAAUUCCCCUCACACAUCGGGUCUUGGGUCAGAAGAUAGACACUCGUUCUCUUUAUUAGAUUGUUGGAUUGAGAUUGUUGGUGAAUGUGGACACUGAUACUAGUGUUAGGUAGUCUUAAACUUCUCUCAACCCCAAAAGCUAGCUUCGGGGGUGAGAUUUUCUUGAUAUUUAUAAAAUCACCAAUAGCCCUUUUCACAACCCAUGUGGGACAACUUCGAUAGUUUGAUUGUAUUUUGAGUAUAACUUUUGAAGAUUAAAUAAGUUAUUUUGUUUCUAUUAGUAAAACCUUAAAAAUUAGAUUUUUGAGAGUGAUAGUCAUAGUACUUAAAGAAUAAAUUGUGUAGAAUACCCUUUUAUUUAUUUAAUGAUCUUAUUCCAUUCCUUUUAUUUUUUUUAUUUCUUUUAUUUUUUAACCUAACAAAAACCUAGUCGCUUCCCCACCCAUUUUAGUAGGGUGCGAAUCUCAGAUCUCUUGCUUUCAGCCAGAUGAUACCCAUAAAUUAGAUCAAAUCCUUUUCAUAAUAUCACUUGCCGCAAUAGUAAAAUUAAACAAAGCAAAAGUACUCUUUUUAACACCAAUACAAAAACAAAACAAGCAUAAAGCAAGACACAAAAUAUUUAAAAAAAAUCAUAAUAUUGCAUCUAUCCAGAUGCCACCAACAUUUUCCAUCAACUGUUUGAAAGAGAUCCUCCAUCUCAUCCUGCUUUGGAAGCUAUUCUUCAAUUAAGGAGACUUGCUUGAAAUUUUUAAACCACUCGUGUGUAAGCUAGGGAAUUUUUAAGAUUCAAAUAGCUUCACUCCCUCUAUGGCUCCAUUUUGUAUAGCUUUUUAAAUAGAAUUUAUUUAAAUAGGCAUUCAAUUAGAAGAGUUUUUACAAAUAGAUCUUUUACCCAAAAAAAAAAUUGUUUAGUUCAUCAGUUGUCAAAAGAGAUUUUAUUAAAAAUUAAAAAUUUAUUUUAAUGUACAAGUUUUCUAAGUUAUGUUGUGAAAUGGAUACGAAUAAAAUAAGAAUAUAAAAUAAAUAAUGGGCAUAAUAGAUAAUUUAAUAAUUUAAAAAAACUUUCUAAUCUCUACCCCAAAAAACUUAAAAUUUGAAUUUUUUCUAAUAGAGUCAAAAUAAUUUAUUUAAUCCCAAAAACUAAAUUCAAAAUAAAACCAAAGAAUAACAAAAAUUUUGAAAAAAAUUUUUAAAAUUAAAUAAAUAUAUAUGACCAUUAAAUAAUCUAAUACUAAACCAGCACUAUACCUUUGAAGGACUUGCAACCCAUCCAAACGCUAGGUCGACUAAGCCAAUAUUGUUCUUGUCCAGUGGUAAAAAAACAUUUUUCCAAACAGCUCCACCCUGCCCCAAUAUAUAUAAAUAAUAUGGAUAAGAUCCUCUCUUUCUUUUUCUUUUUUUUUUCUCCCCUCUCAUACUCUUCAACAAUGUUGAAUUAACAAGUGAUCCUAUUUUUAAUUUAAAAAAGGAGUCAUGUUUUUAUUAAUUUUCAAAUUACAUCUAUGUUUUGAUUAAUUAAAAAGGCCAGCUAAUGGGAUCAUUAAUUUGGUCAACUACUCAGAUAACCGUGCAUCAAUUAUACAAUAGGCAUUUCUUUCCCAAAAUAAUAUAUUACCGUCAUGCAUGACGAUCAUGGAUCACUUGUAAUAGAGAGCUUAGGUGCCCAGCAAGUCAAGUUGCAAGCUGCUGUCUUUGGCCAUACCUUUGAAGCACAAAUACUUCUUUUUAUUCUGGUUUGAUAGUACGGUUAAAAUCAAGGCAUCAAUCAGGAAGGUGCGCAGCAAGUCAAGUCGCCCAGCCGCUGUCUUUGACUGUACCUUUGAAGCACAAGUACUUCUUUUCAUUCUUGUUUGAUAGCACGGUUAAAAUCAACGCAUCAAUCAGGUGGGUGCCCAGCAAGUUAGGUUGCCGAGUUGCUGUCUUUGACUAUACCUUUGACACGCAAAUACUUCUUUUCAUUUUUGUUUGAUAGCAUGGUUAAAAUCAACGCAUCAAUCAUGUACUUAUUGUGAAUCGUUGAAGUAGAUCUACAAUGCAUAAUAAGUAAUAUUUAUUUAAAAAUUGAAGCUUCUAGAUAAUUUCGAUAUAAAUUAAGUUCAGUUUUUACUUCAUCAAGGUGAAACAUCAUAAAGCUUGUAAAUCUAACACAUGAACGUAAAAGCUUUAAAAAAAUUUGAAGUUGCUUGAUAACAUAGAAAUACAAGCAAAAAGAGAUGUUAAAGAAUACAGCCCGAAUUUUUCAUUGGGUGGGAUUAUUGAUCAUGCUAGCAUAAUGAUGAGUUGCCCGAUAAUACCCAAGACUUUCUCGAUAUUAUCAUGUAGAAGGUCAGGACCGCCCACCUACAGCUGUUGUUCAGCACUCAGAGAGACUUUUCACCCGGUUCUUAUGGGGUGACUCUAAGACUAGGCAAUAGAUUAAUUGUUGAUGGCAGUUUGUUAUCCAGUUGAUGAGGGCUGCCUGGGUAUACAAUCUUUUAAUGAUAUGGUUAAGGAUUUUGAGCUUAAGCUUUGGUUGUGUUUUUAGGCGCAGCUUUCAUUAUGGGCUUCUUUUAUGAAGUCUAACUUUUGUACAGCUGCACAUCCGAAUAUGGUUUAGUUUUGAUAUCCUACCUACCCUCUUUGGAGGCACCUAUGCUUGAUUCAAUAUGUUGGUGAGCUUCAUGUGUGUUGGCUGUUUGGCCGAGGGUUGUUUUUGGUAUGAUUGUUAGCUGGUCUCUUGUCCUUUGGCCUUUUAUAAUCAUGUGGUGGCUUUUCUGGUGCCGAUUUCUUUUUAUUAGCAAGAUACAGUAUGAGAUAGGGGUAAGCUUCAGGAUGUCCUACCCUUUUUAAUUGUUGUGCAUAUUCUUUUGAUUCGUAUCUCUAGUGGGGAACCAGAUGUGAUUUUGUACGUGGGACUUUUCUCCUGAUGGUAGUUUUUCCUUGAGGACUACUUCAGAUAUUGUGCAUUGGAUAAGGCCGAGGGAUGAGGCUUUUUUUGUUAUUUGGCAGCGACAUAUCUCUUCGUGGAUAUCCUUUUUUUCUCUAGAGGUUGUGACACAAAUUCUUGACCACAGAUGAUGCCUCGUGUUCGGGGGAUUUCUAAAUACUUUCUUAGUAUCUUUGUGGUCAGGCUUCUGAGACUUCUAGGCAUUUAUUUCUUGAUUGCCCUCGAGUUAGGCCAGUUUGGGUCCAUUUUCUAUGUACUCUUGGUUUGCGCUAUGUUGCUUUUCUGCUCCCCUGUACUUUAUUUCUUAAUUGGUAGUGAUAUGCCCUUUCUUGAAGCCAUAUUCGAGUUCUUCUUCCUUGUUUCAUUUUGUGGUAAGUUUAGAAGGCCUGUCAUGCAUUGAAGUUUGACUUAUUGGCCUUUUUUGUUGAUGCCAUUAUUUAUCGGGCGAUGUUGGAUCUUAGGCUUGCUGGUUUUGCCUUUGGUCUUAAACCAUUCCAAUUGUGAAGAGUUUUAGGUUCUCGGUUUGCAGAGUGCUUGAGAGUUGUUGUUUCAUCUAGGAGGCCGAUUCUUUUAGUUUCUUGGCUGUGGCCACCACCUGGGGCGGUGAAGCUGACUAUCGAUGGUUGCUUUAUGAGUAAUCCUGGGAUCUCUGCUUUAGAUAGUAUUUUACUUGAUCAUCGAGAUGUGGCUUUGGCUGCUUUUGGUUCCUUCCUUGGGCGCUAACCGAUCCUUCAUGCAGAAUUCAUGGUUGUUUUUUAGGGGUUAGAGUUGGCUGCUCAGCUCCAUUAUUCUGUGCUUGAGGUAGAGUCGGACUCAGCCAUUCGGACUAUACCUAUUCUUUGCGUCGAGUGUGUAGUUUGACAUUUUCUUCUACUUCGUGGUUAGUCAUGUGCUUCGGAAGGCUACUUCUACUGCUGAUUGCUUUGGCCUGCACUCUUCAAGGUCAUCGGUGUUUCUUGGGUUCUCAGGAUAUCUCUGCUAGCUUAUCUAAUAAUCUCCGUUUGGAUAUGUGGGUAAUUUCUCAUAUCAGGCAAUAGGAUUUCUUAUUUUUGUAUUCCAUUUUUUAUCUUGUAUUUUUCUCUUUUCCAUUCUUAUGUUCUUGCAAUUGCGGUUUUGAUUUAUAUUCACCUCCUUAUGUAUUUGAUUCAUUCUAUGAUUUAUAUGAAAGAUAGGGGUUCCACCUAACCCCACCUUUUUUGUGGUUAAAAAAAAAAGAUCAGGAAUUCAACCUAAGUCAUCAAGGUGAAACAUCAAACAUGUUGUAAAUUUAACAUAUGAAUGUAAAAGCUUAACAAAACUUUUGAAGUUGCUUGACAACAUAGAAAUACAAUAAAAAAGAGAUGCUAAACAACACAAAAAUUUGAUUUGGGGGGGGGGGGGGGGGGAAGUAUUGUUCAUGCUAGCAUAAUAAUGAGGUGCCUGAGAAUACCUAAGACUUUCUUGAUAAAUAAUAUCAUCUAAAAGGUUAGGAAUCACAUAUGAUUGUCCACGUAUGAACAAACCUAGCUCAAAAUGUGAAAUGUGUUAAGAUUUUCAAACAUUUAAAUUAAUAAUUAAUAAUUUCAGACAAAGGAUACUUGGAGACCCUAAAGUUCACUGAUUCUAUGUUAUGGCUCAUUGUCUCUCUUGACAAUUUAAUUUCUAGAUUAUUUGGCUCUAUCUAUUAAAAGACAACACCGUUACUAAAAUUAUAAAUUAUAACAGUUAAACCUAAACCUACGUCGUUUAGCAAUUUACAAAAGAAAAAAAUAUAACAAAAGCCAAGUGUUGGAGCAGCAACGUGCCAACGAGAAAACCUCAACCCAUGUAAUAUCCUGUGCCAACACCUAAAGAAGAACAAACCAUCACCCUCUAGGCCGUCGCUGCACUAACGCUGGGGCGGAUUUGAAUAGUUAGAAGUUGUAACAUUAAUUAGGGAUUGAGGGUAAAAUUUUGGACUUUGAUUUAAUAAAAUUGAUUUAAAUGAGUCCCAAUAGAAAUAUGAUUAUAAAUAUAUCAAUACAAUUAUAACAUGUGUAAAAGAAAAAAGUUUAUUUUUCACACAAAACAAAAAACACAACCCUUAGAUUUGGGAUGUGUCUAAAAAAUAAUAGGGUGGAAAUAUUAUCACCCUCAAAUUAGAUAUAUAAAUGUUUAAUGUUUUACUCUUAUAAUUUUCUAUAUAUUUUUUUGAAUAUUGUCAAGAGAAAGAUAGAAAUUAAUAUAUAGACAAAUCGAGUCCCUUAUUUUAUUAUUCAUAUCCAUAAAAAGUAACCACUAUGCUAGUCCCCCGAACUUAGCAUAAGACGGUAAUUUAAAAAAAGAAAAAAAAAAGAACGUUUCUAGACACCAAAACAAAAGCAAAACAAACACAAAGCGAGACAUACAAACAAAUUUUAUGCUACUGCAUUCAAGCAGAAGCCAUCAACUGUUCACGACGAAGUUUGAGAGCAACCAAUAGUUCAUCCUGAUUAGGAAGAUUUUCUUCAAUCAAAGUGACUUGCUUGAAAGUUUCAAUCCAGGCAUGCAAGUGAGGGAAUUUGUGUGAUUCAAAUAGUUUAGCUCCCACUAUAUCUUCAAUGACUUGCAACCAAUAAACAAUUGAACCAAACGCUAGGUCCACUAAGCCAAUAUUGUCUCCAUUGAAAAAUUUCUUCUCUCCCAAGCCAUGCUCUUCAACGGUUUGUAGCAUUUCCAAGGCUUCCUUCAUUGUGUUUUGUAGUUCUUGUCUAGUGCUACGAAACAGUUUCCAAACAGCAACACCCUGCCACAAAUAUUUUACAUCUGAUUUUAUCACCGACAUGAUUAAUUAAUAAUAUGUAUAUAAAAGUGAAAAAUCGUUGGACGAUAUGUACACGUGUCACAAUAACCUUUAAUUAGAGGUUUAAUAAGUUAAUUAAGAGAGUUCAACCACUGAGUUGUAAAAUCCUUUAAUUCACUUUCUCCCAAUGCUUCAAAAGUCAUCAAAAUUCCCCGUGAAGUUAAAAACGGUUGUGUUAACUUUAACUUACUACAUCUUUUCAUAUUUAAGGAUAAAACAGUGAAGACACCAGAAAUUGAAAGUUUAGAGAACUUUUUACAAAUAAAUAUGAAGGAGACCCCUGGGUGGCUGGGCUCGACUGGCUAUGAAUUCACUUCCGCCAUCACCCGAGUUUGAGUAUAUAUGGAGAGUAAGAGUUAGUGUUUGGUGGGUGGAUUUCGUUAUCCUCGUCACCUCAUCUAGAUCUUAAAGUAAAUAAAUAAAUAAACACAUUUGAAAAGAAUGAACUUAAUCAUAAACGUGUUUACCAGAGUUGUGAGCGAACCUUGUCUUCGGCGAAUUUAAUCCAGAAUCGAGCAAGAGCUCUAUCAUAAGGAUUAUUUGGCAUCAAGGGAUUCUGUGGCCACGUCUCUUCGAUGUAUUCGAGAAUAACCAUGGACUCACAAACUGGUUUUCCGCCAUGGACAAGCACUGGGAUCUUCUUGUGAACCGGAUUGUGCUUCAAAAGCAAAGCACUUUUGUUUGAGAGAUCUUCUGCAACAAAUUCAUACGGCACGCCUUUCAAUUUCAGAGCCCAAAUCACCCUGUAAACAAAUGGACUCAGCAGUGCCCCAUGAAGCUUCACUUCAGCCAUGAUAAUUCUUAGAUUGAAUUUGAAUAUCAGGUUUUUUGGUCGAUCUUGAGUAUAGCUGAUAACUCAUUACACAUGUUUCUGAAUUUAUAGUGAUUUAUGGUAUGCACUUUCUUGAGCAGAAAGCUUCAAUUUUCCAUUAAUAAAACGAUUAAUGAUGAAUUCAAAGAACUAGUGCGAUGACUUUAAUUAAAUAUUUUUUUACGCUGUGUGCAACCGCAUUUUGAGGUUAAUUUAAAGGAUAUUAUUUUCUCCUGAUAAAAAAUUUUAUAUAAAAAAAUAUAAUUAUGUGAUUGGUAGUUAUUAAGUAAAAAUAAAUUUUGACCGGAAAUAAAUAAAAGUUCAUACAUGUUAUAAAGAUUUUUUAAAACUCAAAUAAGUGGACACAAUUCCUAAUUUAAAACGCUAGCCAAUGAGAUCAAUAAUUUGGUCAACCAGUCAGAGAUAACCAUACAAUAAUUAAUCAAAAUUUUGCCAUUUGUUUUACAUUUAAGACCUUUGCGUCAUGCAUGAUGAUCAAUUGACCAUAUAUCAAUUAAUCAACAAGACAUUUGCCUUUUGUGCAUGUGUUCACAUUGGACGCAAAUAUAAUUUGUUAUAAAAAAAAUUGGACUAAAUUAUUUUUAAAUACAUUUUUUUAAAAAUAAUCACCUGAUCAUAGAGGACCUGUUAUUUAGUUCGUGAAUCUUAUAACAGGACCCAUGAUUUUUUUUUUAAAUCUUAUCAGUCCCCUAUUAUUUAAUUUGUGGAAUUGACGGAGGUAACUUACAGUUUCAUUUUUGUAAUUUACAGCUUUCAAUAAAUUCAUAUAAUAUUAGGCGGUAAAAGUCGGCCAGGCUGGAGGAGUAGAUUUCUCUUUGUACAUCAACUUUUAUUUGACGCUGGGUUUUUUUUCGACCCAUAAUAAUUUCUCUUUGUACAUCAACUUUUUAAUAAAAACUUUUAUUGUCAAGAUAAAUUGUUAUUAAUUACUUCACUAAUCCUCCUUUUUUUUGGGCCAAUUUCUCUUUCGUAUCUGACAAAAUUUAAUUCACAUCAUGUGAUAGUAUGAUUGCAAAUAAAUUUGAAGUUAUCUCUCGCAAGUUGUUCAAAAAUACAUUGACAUAUCUUGUAUAUAGAACUAAAGAACAAUAGCAAACCGCUAUCCUCUAGCCGAUCGCAUUAGGACGGCAAAAUUAGUCGUAAAUAUGUAAAUUUGUCUAAACCCAUCUACAAAAAUCUGUCCACUGCGAAUAAUUUUGGAGGUUACGGAUAAGUUCGGUAUUUUAAAUUUAAGUUCGUUGCAGGUUACGGAUAGAUUUAGUAUUGAGAAAAAAUUUGGCGGGUGUCUGCCGACUAGCAUUUUUUUAAUUAUUUAUGUCUUUUAUUUUAGUCAGAAAGAUUGUCUUAAAAAAAUUUAAUCAUAAAAAUAUAGUAGUUAAAGUUAUUACUCUAAUAUUCCAAAUUCCUAAACCUAAACUAACUCAUUACAGUUGCACACCCUACUCCUUCAAGUAUGUAUGUAUGUAUGUAAAUGUAUACACACGCACACACACAAAAAAUAAACUUUUAAUAAGUAGAUUUAGUGUUUUUCAAGUUUAAUAUUAAUGAUAUUUUAAUUUAAUUUAAUUUAAUUACUUUUGUUUGUUUGGCUUUAAUGACCCGAACUUAGUGAUUGCUGGUUAAGAUUGGAUUUUUAUUUGUCUAAUUAAUGGUCAAUAGUUGUCCAAAAUAUAUUUGGUAAUAUUGUUGACAAUACUUGUAUAUUAACUAAAAGAUAGGGCAAGACAUUAAUCUUAGUAAUGAUUAUUUGCCUACAACAAAAAUAUUUUGUGGUAGAAUGAUAUAUUUUGUGUAUUUGUUUUAAUAUUGAAACUUUAAUUUCUCUUUUACAUUGGUAAAAUCUAAAAUUAAGUAAUUUAUGUAGAUUUUUUUGGCUGUUACUAUAAAGUUAUAUUUUGAAUUAUAUAAUUCAAAUUAUUAAAUAUAAUUUUUUUAAUAUUUGUGAUUUUAAAUAUAAAAAUUUAUAUAUAAAAAAAAAACCUACUGCAUGUUAUGGGUGGAUUUGCUAAUUAUUAAAAAUUAUAGCGAACGAACUAAGGCAACCGGUUACUGGCGAGUUUAAUAAUGACAAACCCAUAAUAAGUGAUUCCCAUUACCAUCAGCAGCUUCUGUAACACAGGGCCGGAGGCGGUCUUGAAUUGUUACAAGUUGCAACAUUAAAUAGCAAAAUUUUCAGCCGCAUCCCUGAAGUUUAGACAUAGAAUUAGAUAUAUCCCCUUGUUUUCAAAAAAUUAGUUUCUGAUUCCCAUGUUGUUUACAUUUUUUUUUUUUUUCCAUUUCAAUUGGAUAUACAACUUCGUAAUGUUGCGCCUUGUAGAAUGUAUGCUUAAAAUGCGUGCUUCUUAUUUUUUAUAUACUGCUAAGAGAAGUUGAGUAUAGAAAUAUAUAAAAUGGAGUCUCAUUUAUUAAUUAUUUAUAUCCACUAAAUAGCACCUAACAUGCAGCUUACUUCAAUGGUAAAAUUAAUUAAACAAAAUAGAAAGAACAUUUUUAACACCAGUACAAAAACAUAACAAGUGUAAAAGAAGACUCACUAACUUAUUUUAUGAUAUUACAUUCGCGCAGGUACCACCAAUGUUUCCCGACCACGUUUGAGACCACCAACUCACGCCGAUUUAGAAGAUUUUUUUUUUAUUAAAAGGGGCUCAACAGAACGAGCUAAGCCGGAACAAAGCGGGGUUGAGUAACCAUGUUUUGCAAUAUAAUUGAAUAAAUACCCACAGGCAGGCUAGUAAAUAAAUGCAAACCAUGAGGAACUGAAUGAGCCAUAUUAGCCAUGAAAUCCACAGCUGAAUUCGCUUAACGAAAGAUGUGUAUGAUAGAAAUUUGCCAGUUUCUACUUAAUAAUUCCUGAACAGCAACAACUAUAGCAUAAAAAGCAUUAGGCACGACCACCUGCUUAGAAAUUAUCUGUGAAACACAGAGACUAUCAACUUCCACCAAAAGAUUUUCUAUAAGUAUAUAAGUUAAAGUUAUUACUCUAGUUUUCAAAAUUCUUAAACCUAAUCUAACUAAUUAUAGCUGCACGCCUUGCUCCUUCUAGUAUAUGUAUAUAUUUUAAGAUGAAGACAAUAACUUUUUAAUAAGUAGAAUUUUGUACUUUUCAAGCUUAAUAUUAAUUAUAUUUUAUUUUAUUUUAACUACUUUGAAUUGUUUUGCUUUAAUGACUUGAACAUAUUGAUUGUUUGCUAAACUUGAAUUUUUAUUUGUCUAAUUAAUUGACGAUAGCAGUUGUAUAAAAUUUAUAAAGACAAAAUCUAAAUAGAUUACAAAAAGAUUUAGUAAUGACAAACCUACAGCAGCCAAUACCCAUUACCAUCCCUAGCUGCUAUAAUGCAGGGACAUGGGCGGUCUUAAUUGUUAGAAGGUUCAAAAUUAAUUAGCAAAAUGUUCAGUGGUAUCCUUGAAUUUUAGCAUAGAAUUAGAUAUAUCCACUAGUUUUCAAAAUUAGUUAUAUAUAUAUAUAUUUCAAUUGGAUAUAUAACUUUGUAAUGUUGCGCCUUAUAAAAAUGUAUGCUUAAAACGCAUGCUUAUUACUUUUUAUAUGCUGUUAAGAGAAACUGAGAAUAAAAAUAUGUAAAAUGGAGUUUCAUUUAUUAAUUAUUUAUAUCCAUUAAAUAGCACCCAACAUACAGUUCGUCUCAAUAGUAAAAUGAAUUAAACAAAGUAGAAAGAUCUGUUUUAGCAUCAGUACAAAAAUAAAACAAGCACAAAGCAAGAAUCACAAACUUAUUUUAUGAUAAUACAUUCACGCAGAUGUCACCAAUGUUUCCCGACGACGUUUGAAAGCGAUCACCAUCUCAUGCUGAUUUGGAAGAUUUUCUUCAAUUACAGGGACUUUCCUGAAAUUUUCAAACCACUCAUGCCAGCUUGGGAAUUUGUGAGAUUCAAAUAGUUUCACUCCCAUUACAUCUUCAAGGACCUGCAACCAAUAAGCAAUGGCUCCAAAUGCUAGGUCCGCUAAGCCAAUAUUGUCUCCAUUGAAAAACUUC
This 17922-nucleotide long non-coding RNA is filed under the name Citrus maxima (pomelo). Its description in RNAcentral is "long non-coding RNA (CMAX_LNC003697)". The record is from RNAcentral. Lineage: Eukaryota; Viridiplantae; Streptophyta; Magnoliopsida; Sapindales; Rutaceae.